Long non-coding RNA from Malaclemys terrapin pileata, 2545 nucleotides. RefSeq lists it as uncharacterized. NCBI's taxonomy places the organism in Eukaryota, Metazoa, Chordata, Testudines, Emydidae. The transcript is spliced from 4 exons. The record is from RefSeq and is a predicted model, not a curated record.
AGCAACAGAAACACACAGCCUCUCCGUCCCCCCUUCCCCACGUUCCAGCCUCUUCCCGGAUCUGCGCAGGGCAGGCAGGGAGCCUGCCCUGCUCCCGGUGCUCGUCCGGCCGCUCUGCUUAACUGUCCAGUGAGAUCCAACAGUCUGCCUUUGUGACCCUGGAGCCGGCGUGGUUUGGGAACACUGAAGAAGCCACAGGCAGCCAUCCUGGACUGGAAUCACUGAAAAGACGCCCCAGGAGAUCCCAGGGCAUAAAAGAACUGCCCUCCCAAGAGAGGAAGCAAGUUGGAGAUUGCACAGCGCCUUCUCUGAACGUUGUACAGAAACGUGGCCAGUCUGGACGUAUGUGUAUCAUCAGAGAAAACGGAUGCCAGCUGAACAGCAUUCAAUGUACCAUGCAUUUACUGGUACAAUAGGAAUUAUUUUUGUGUUCUAUGUCCUGUCUUGUAGUGUUUGUCUUGUGGCCAGAAUUGUUGUGUUUAAUAUUUUCAUAAGACAGUCUAGUUCAAAAUUAAAUAGAAGGGUUAAAUCAAAAAGCAGAUACUUGUUUUAUUCAACUUGGAAUACAAAGUGUUUGGAUAAAUCAGGAAAAUGUGAUAUACUAAAGUCUAAUACAUUUGCUUAAGUAAGAAAAAGAGAUUUCAUUGGCCAGAUCUUUUAAUUGAAAAAUUGUUGUUAAAAUUUGCAUACCAACAGACUUUGGAAGCAAGGACAUGGAAGGCUAACCCACUCCCCCUAUUGCACAUGGGAUCCUUCUGGCUACCUCAGAUUUCUAGCCAGAGGGCUGGGGAGGAAGGAAAGCUAUUGGACACCAGAGGUUGUACCGAGUGGACUUCUCAAAAGUGGGUGUGCUCGUCCUGGCUUGUUGCUCCAUAGCUCUGUAAUAAAGUUAUUUUACUGGAAGAGUGUAUGUGGCAUACAUUGAAUAAUAAGACUAAUGUACUGUAUAAUGGCAAUGUGUAUGUGUUCAUUGUUGGGAAAAGGUGUACGAGUGAAGAGUGGAAGUUUCCUUUGUAGGUUAAAAGAAGCCAAGAAGGGGAGAAGGAAAAAGAACAGAACGAGUUAACUGAGAAAAAAAUAUAUAGCUAGCAAGCUCAGUCCAAAGAUAAGAUGCUGGCCCCAUCCAAGGACAUUGUUCACAUAGACUAAGACUUGGCUGACAACCAAGAAAAGUGGGGCCUGAAUGUGCCCAAGCAACUAUGAGAUCUGCAAAACACUGCCAGGCAGUAAUGAAAUGUGUUAGGUUUCUUUUCUCACAGAUAAAAGAAGUGCUAACGAAACACCGUAGCAGCCCUAGCCAUUCAUUGAAACAAGGAGACUGAGUCUACGUAAAGUCCAUCAACGAAAGACUGCUUUGGCUCCACACUGGAAAGGCCCUUUCCAAGUCCUGUUAACCACCAACACUGCUGUGAAGGCCAAGGACUACCUGCCUGGACUAGGGGCGGCUCUAGGGACCAGCAAAGCAAGCACCUGCUUGGAGCAGCCCAUUUGCAGGGGUGGCUGGGAUCCAGCCUGGGAGCUGAGAACCAACAGGGGGCCCUGGGAGCUGUAGUUCCUUGGUUAACUCCCUGCCUAUAGAGCCAGCCCUGGAGCAGGGAAAGAACUACAUUUCCCAGCAUUCCCUUGGCCACUACCAACAGGAAAGAGGGGGAGGGAGGGAGGAAGCUGAGACCUCAUGCUGCAGCCUGCUAUGAAUGGAGAGCUGCACGCUCUGCUGUGCCUUCUGGACAGCAGGAAAAAGGAAAAAAAAAGACAAGGUGAAGUGCUAGUAACCUCUCCCUUGUCCACUGACAGACCUACUGUGCCUCUGGAUUUUUCUAGAAGAAGCAAAACCAUUACAGGGUGAUGUGCUAGUAACCUCUCCCCUGUAUGAUGCUGAAUCACACUGUUUCAGGAAAAGAGAAGAAGGAACACUUGCUUCAUUGAAACCACAAAGUCCAGGGAUUCCUGACUACAACAGACAUUAAGAACUGACCCUGGUGAAGAAAGAAAGAAUUAUAGACUGUCAGGAAGAAACUUGUGGGACCCAUGCGUGGGAACGUGGUAUUGAUUGGAUUUUGAGGUUUAUUCUACAGGCUGCGCCCUGUGUUUUGGAUAAGUCCUUCAGCAUGUAUUGCCCUCCCUAAUUGGAUUUUAAAUUAUAAGUACCAAAGGCACCUUGUUGCCAUUGCCCCUGCCACCUCCUCCAUUACACUAUUACCCCUGUAACACAUCCAAAUACAGACAAUGCCAUAUAUUUGAUAAAACCAGUGGCCAAGGCCUUCACACUUUAGUGAUUUAUUUAAAUAUUGUUUGAAAAAAAAUAAUUUUUAAGGUUCAGGAUAUCCCAUAUAAGCAAACAAUUGAAUGGAAAAGAAUGGAUCAGUGGAGAUAAAAGUAUAUGAUAUCACUACAAGUGAAACCCAAGAAUCUGUAAUUGCAAUUGAUGGGUUCUAUAGUGAAGUAGAUAUGAUGGCUGUUCCUGGAAUUUGCACUGUGUUAAAUGAGAGAGGCCCUUAUUGUUAUUUGGUCACCCAAUUAGUGAACAAUUAAACGAAUACCCAAA